RNAcentral lists this ribosomal RNA (697 nucleotides) under Starmerella bombi. RNAcentral's name for it is "LSU rRNA". The stretch from base 118 to 697 matches the Rfam family "Eukaryotic large subunit ribosomal RNA", at positions 1 to 684 of the family's 3401-position model. Lineage: Eukaryota; Fungi; Ascomycota; Dipodascomycetes; Dipodascales; Trichomonascaceae. The record is from RNAcentral.
GAGCGCCGAUCUUUCUCUCAUACUACUUUAUGUAGAAGAGGUUCUGCUCCUAUCAGGAGUCAAAAGAAUGGAAGUGCACACGUUAGAUAACUCUGUGCAGUUACACUUACAAUCUUUUGGCCUCCAAUCAAGCAAGGCUACCCGCUGAACUUAAGCAUAUCAAUAAGCGGAGGAAAAGAAACCAACAGGGAUUGCCUUAGUAGCGGCGAGUGAACAGGCAAGAGCUCAGAUUUGAAAGCCUUUCGGGGCAUUGUAUUCUGAAGCCUUGGUCCUGGGAAACCGAUGUCUAAGUCUUCUGGAAAGGAGCGCCAUGGAGGGUGAUAGCCCCGUACGACAUUGACCCCACUGUAGGACCUUGGCAUGGAGUCGAGUUGUUUGGGAAUGCAGCUCAAAUGGGUGGUAUGCUCCAUCUAAAGCUAAAUAUCUGCGAGAGACCGAUAGCGAACAAGUACUGUGAAGGAAAGAUGAAAAGAACUUUGAAAAGAGAGUGAAAAAGUACGUGAAAUUGUUGAAAUGGAAGGGUAGGCCGCUAACCACGUAGAGUCGUGUUUGGGGGGAAGAUAAAAGCUGAAGAAUGUAACUCCUUGGAGUAUUAUAGCUUCAGUCCAUAUUCCCACCCGAGCGCGAGGACUUAAGACUCUGCUAAAUGGUGGUCUACCACCCGUCUUGAAACACGGACCAAGGAGUCUAUUGCCUG